Molecule: ribosomal RNA, 996 nt
Filed under: uncultured bacterium
Lineage: Bacteria
Description: bacterial SSU rRNA
Rfam family: Bacterial small subunit ribosomal RNA
Source: RNAcentral
GGGGAAUAUUGGGCAAUGGGCGCAAGCCUGACCCAGCAACGCCGCGUGGAGGAAGAAGGUUUUCGGAUUGUAAACUCCUGUUGAAGAGGACGAUAAUGACGGUACUCUUUUAGAAAGCUCCGGCUAACUACGUGCCAGCAGCCGCGGUAAUACGUAGGGAGCGAGCGUUGUCCGGAAUUACUGGGUGUAAAGGGAGCGUAGGCGGGAUGGCAAGUCAGAUGUGAAAACUAUGGGCUCAACCCAUAGACUGCAUUUGAAACUGUUGUUCUUGAGUGAGGUAGAGGUAAGCGGAAUUCCUGGUGUAGCGGUGAAAUGCGUAGAUAUUAGGAAGAACACCAGUGGCGAAGGCGAUUUGCUGGACACUAACUGACGCUGAGGCGCGAAAGCGUGGGGAGCAAACAGGAUUAGAUACCCUGGUAGUCCACGCCGUAAACGAUGGAUACUAGGUGUGGGGGGUCUGACCCCCUCCGUGCCGCAGUUAACACAAUAAGUAUCCCACCUGGGGAGUACGAUCGCAAGGUUGAAACUCAAAGGAAUUGACGGGGGCCCGCACAAGCGGUGGAGUAUGUGGUUUAAUUCGAAGCAACGCGAAGAACCUUACCAGGUCUUGACAUCCCGAUGACCGGUGUAGAGAUACACCUUCUCUUCGGAGCAUCGGUGACAGGUGGUGCAUGGUUGUCGUCAGCUCGUGUCGUGAGAUGUUGGGUUAAGUCCCGCAACGAGCGCAACCCUUGUUGCUAGUUGCUACGCAAGAGCACUCUAGCGAUACUGCCGUUGACAAAACGGAGGAAGGUGGGGACGACGUCAAAUCAUCAUGCCCCUUAUGACCUGGGCCACACACGUACUACAAUGGCGGUUAACAGAGGGAAGCAAUACCGCGAGGUGGAGCAAAUCCCUAAAAGCCGUCCCAGUUCGGAUUGCAGGCUGCAACCCGCCUGCAUGAAGUCGGAAUCGCUAGUAAUCGCGGAUCAGCAUGCCGCGGUGAAUACGUUCCCG